Molecule: long non-coding RNA, 4472 nt
Filed under: Sus scrofa (pig)
Lineage: Eukaryota; Metazoa; Chordata; Mammalia; Artiodactyla; Suidae
Description: lncRNA (ENSSSCG00000056490.1)
Source: RNAcentral
AAUUUAUUUUCUCACGGUUCUGGAGGCUGGAGUCAGGGAUGGGGUGGCCAGCCUGGCUGGAACCUGGUGAGAGCUCUCUUCUUGGUUGCAGACAGCUGCCUUCUUAUUGCGUAUUUGCAUGGUCUUUCCUUGGUAUGGUGAAGACAGGGAGAGAGCACUGCCUCUUCUUAUAAGGCCAGCAAUGCUAUCAGAUUAGGACCUCAUCCUUAUGAACUCAUUUAACCUUAUUUUUCCUCCUAAAAGCUCCAUCUCCAAAUGCAGUCACAUUGUGAGUUAGAUCCUCAACAUAUCUUUUUUUUUUUUUGGCCACCCUGUGGCAUAUGGAGUUCCUGGGCGAGGGAUCCGAGCUGCAGUUGCAGCAACACGAUAUCCUUUAACUCACUAUGCCAGGGAUUGAACUUACAUCUUGGUGCUGCAGAGACGUCACUGAGCCUGUUGCGCCCCACUGGGAACUCUCAACAUACGACUUUUAUUUGGAGGUGGCAUAAUUCAGCAUAUAUUUAUAUCUAUAUUUAUAUUUUACAUUUAAUUUUAUAUACAAACAUCCAGGUGUUCUACUAGUUUUUCUUCUCUCUCUCUCUCUUUUUGGUUUGGCCAUUCCCCACAAGUGCCCAGGCCAGGGAUCGAACCCACGUCACAGCUGUGACUAGAGCCACAGCAGUGACAACUCUGGAUCCUUAACCCACUGAGCCAUGACGACUCGCCCAAUUUUCUCUGUUUGGAUUUUUCUUUAUUGCUGUCCUUUAUUGCAGUAUGGGAAAUUGCCAUAAGGGAAACAGCAGUGAAAUUGCCAAAGUUUCUUCCACUCUCCACUUUCCCUAUUCUCAAGGCUCUAAGAAUUGAAGCUAAGAGAUAACCUUGGGUGUGGGGCAGGGACCACUGAACUAGAAUUCAGAACUCACAGAUUCAACUCAUGAUUCACUAAUGUGAUUCUCAGACUCUCUCUCUCCCCUUAAAACUUAAAUUCUUCUAUCUGUCCAAUGAAAUUAAUAAUCUAUAAUCCUGUGAACGUGUGAAGAAAGAAUAGUUAAGAAUUUGUCAUGUAAUGCUAGUUCUUUGUAAUAAAAAUUUGAAAAUGAAAUGCAAAGAUUUUAAUCCAAAGGCAUAAAACUGUUAAAAUGUAACAGACAUUCUCAGCACUUACCAUGUGCUCUAAAAACAUUAACUCACUCGACCUCAACAACAAUGGUAGGAGAUGGGUUAUCUGUUAUCACUACCUUCUCCAUUUGGUAGAAACACAGAGAAGCAGAGUAACUGGUCACUGGCUUUAUAGCUAAUUAGUGACAGAGCCAGGAGUCACAUCAUAGAGACCAGUUACUCUGUGGUCACAAACUACGAAAUUACUGCUUGUUCCUUCUAAUCAGGUCUCUUCCUUGUUCAAAAACCUCCAAUGGCUCUUGAAGCCUAAAGUAAUUAGUACAACUGAGUUGCUCAGUGAUAAAGACCCUCCAGUGACUUUUCUUUGCCACGAAAAUCCUUUCUUCAGGGAGUUCCCUGUUGGUCAGUGGUUAGGAUUUGAUGCUUUCACUGCUGUAGCCCAGGUUUGAUCCCUGGUCUGGGAACUGAGAUCCUACUUCAAGCCGCUGCAUUCUGUGGCCAAAAACAAAUUAAAUAAAUAAAUAAAUAAGUCUUGAUAAAUUUAAAAGACAUUGAAAUCAUACAAAAUAUAUAUUUUAUAAAUUUAAAAGAUAUUGAAAUCAUACAAGAUAUAUAUAUAAAAUAAAGUCGAUAAAUUUAAGAUAUUGAAAUCAUACAAAAUACAUAUUUUAUAAAUUUAAAAGAUAUUGAAAUCAUACAAGAUAUAUAUAUAUAAAAUAAAUAAAGUCUUGAUAAAUUUAAGAUAUUGAAAUCAUACAAAAUAUAUAUUUUUAAAUCAUACAGGAGUUCCUGUCGUGGCGCAUGGUUAAGAGGGCAGGCUCUGGCCUCAGACUGCACAGGCUUUUAUCUAGGCUUGGCCCCUGUUUUAAUCACCUCAUCUAUAAAAUGGGGACAUAGUAGUAUCUUAUGAUGUUGUAAGACCUAAACUACAUAAUACGUGAAAAGCAAUUAGCAUUUUAAUAAGUAGCUGGAAAAUAAGUAAGUGCAAGCUAUAUGGGAGGUAAUAGGUUCAGAUCAUUGUUUGCUGAAUGAAUGGGACUGAAUAGAACAAUAGUAAUUUGAGUAAUCUUUCUAGAAAUGGAUGGUACUUUCCUGUUGAAGCCAACAGCAACUCUUUAUAAAAUGACCAGCUAGCAUUAGAAGUGCAAUGGCCUUGGAGCCAUUUACCUCUGCAAAAUUAACUGGCCUGAACUGGGAUCGACCACUGACAUUGGCCUCUUCAGUCCCACCAUUUUCUGCAAUGGAAUGAAGUGGCCCCAGCUGCAGGCUGGUACCUUAUAUAAUGGGUAUCUCUAAGGACAGAGAACAAUGCAGUUCCCCAGAGGGGGCACUGGCUCACCAUGUAAGGUGGUUACCCAGUUUCCCAGCCAUGAACAAUGAAAAUGAAUAGGAAAUUCAUAAAUAAAUGGCUAGAGGAGAAGGCUCUCUGUUAAAUUCUUAGGUUUUAGACCAGUAGUCUCCGUCUUCAUGGAAAGACUCCUGUAGCAAUACUAGAAGAUUUUGAAGGUAAUCAACCCUGGGUUCUAGAAACAUCUCUGCCAUUAACUAACCAGCUGCAAAACCUUGAGCAAACUGUUGAGUCUCAUCUUGCAUUGACACAACAGGGGACCGAAAUAGCUGCUGUGAAAGGCCCUUUUUGACAUUCUCUUCCCCACAGGCAGAGUCACAUUUUCAGAACUCAGGGCUGUUUACUGCAUUAAAAAAGGGGGUGGGGGACAUAACCAGGCAAUGGAAAUAAUUGCAAAAUGUGUCAGUUAAGAGAAGCAAAAGGACCAUGGUGGGGCUCAGACUCAGUUGACACCCUGGUGCUACUACGGGAGGGGAGGGUGGUGGUCCUGAUGAAGACCUGGAAGUAUAGGGAUGAGGGAAUAGAGUCCAGGCAAAAAUUGUAGGCUAACUGGGCCAGAGCCUGGCCAGGGGCAAAUAUGGCAGUAAAGGGCCUCCCAGGGAACUAUGAGCAUUGCCAGUAAGUGCUCUGAUGACCCUCCCCCAGCCCCACAGGCUCUUGCCCUUCCCCCCUUCACUGGAGUCAAUGAACUCAGUGCCCAUUUCAAAAUCCACCUCCUUGGAGUUCCCGCUGUGGUGCAAUGGGAUCCCAGGCAUCUCUGGAGUGCUGGGAUGAAGGUUCAAUCCCAAGCUCAGCACAGUAGGUUAAGGAUUUGGCGUUGCUGCAGCUGCAGCUUAGUAGCAACUGUGGCUCAAGUGUGAUCUCUGGCCUGGGAGCUCCAUAUGCUUUGGGGUGGCCAAAAAAAAAAAAAAAAAAAAAUCCACCUCCUUCUCCAGGACACCGCUCUUCCCCCGCCCCCGGACCCACAGACACACACACACAGACACACACACACACACACACAUACUUCCUCUAAAGGUUGAUGGUACUUACUCUGUGCCAUUUCUGCGACACUUUCAAGAGGAACACAGGGCUGCCUGAACCUCCUAAGAACAGUUGUAUCCUCUCCAGGAGACCCAAGGCUGUUGGCUCCUUUUUGCCUCCCAGGCAUCCAAUACAGUAGUGCUCAGAAAAUAUUUGUGGCUCUGAGAUUGAGUGACUCAGGCAGGCACCCCACAGGGUGGAGCGGAGAGUAGAGUUUUAUGGGUUUUAAAUAUGAACCAUACCAUGUUAUCUGAGACUAUUACCUCUUUGCUCACCCUGGAAACCUUCAGUUCUAGUUGGAUUUGCUGGGAGCUGAAUGGAGUUUUGUUCCUUUUCAUGCUGAAAACCAUAAUCCAAUGUUUACAUUAAAAAACAUUCACCUAGCACCUACUUCAUGAUCCGCAGUGGUCCAAACACUUUACAAAUGUUGACCCAUUGACUAUUCCUCCAACUAGAUGUGGAAAGAGAGGCACUGAAACACUGUCACUUGCCCUGGGAUCAGAACUAAUAGGCGCCAGAGCUGGGAUUUAAACCCAGGCCCUCUGGUUCCAGAGUACAUGCUCUGCCUGAAAUUUACCUGAGUGGCAGAAAUCUUCAAGAGCAGAAAGAAAAAAAAUGACAUUGAUAUAUUUGUUUCAAAGGAAUUUUUUUUUUCUUGUGUUCCCCUUUCCUUCCUCAUUCAAAGCAAAAUGUUCUGAAGCCAACAGUCUUUUUUCACACCUGAGAGAGCAGGCGGCUCGUUUUCUUUUUUGCUUUGGCAAUCAAAAUGGAAGAGGAAACGAGUGUGGUUUCAUCACUGGUGCUUUCGGGGUGUGUGCUGCGCGUGUGGUCCUGCCUCCCUCCUGGCAGAUCUGGCUGCCCCCCACCCCCUUCCUUCAGGCCUUGUUGCCUCAGGUCCCGGGGACGACUGAACAGUCUGCCUUUCCCCUACAACACUGGGAUGUGGACCAGCCUUUCUGGCAAUUCCGCUUAACCAGACUUUGAGCUUCGAGGGUCUUCUUCA